UACGUGGGGUGCAAGCGUUGUUCGGAAUUACUGGGCGUAAAGAGUGUGUAGGCGGCUUUGUUAGUCUGGUGUGAAAUCUCCCGGCUUAACUGGGAGGGUGCGCUAGAAACUGCAGAGCUAGAGUAUCGGAGAGGAAAGCGGAAUUCCUGGUGUAGCGGUGAAAUGCGUAGAUAUCAGGAGGAACACCGGUGGUGUAGACGGCUUUCUGGACGAUCACUGACGCUGAGACACGAAAGCGUGGGGAGCAAACAGG
RNAcentral lists this ribosomal RNA (253 nucleotides) under uncultured bacterium. Its description in RNAcentral is "partial 16S ribosomal RNA". It matches the Rfam family "Bacterial small subunit ribosomal RNA", at positions 524 to 776 of the family's 1533-position model. The record is from RNAcentral.